AUGGGAGGCAAGUGCCCACACCGCAAGGUCAAGAAGCGCCGUCUCAACUGCAAGCAGGUGCGCCGCGGCAAGUUCCUCGUCAAGGCCGACGACGCCGUCUACGACGAGCUCGUCAAGCUGGCCGACCAGGGCAAGGAUUCCGAGGGCAAGGCGCUGCCCGUCGACGAGGACCUCCCCGGCAUGGGCCAGUUCUACUGCCUCCACUGCGAUCGGUACUUCGCGGAUGAGACAGUGAAGGAGGAUCACUACCGCUCAAAGCGCCACAAGAAAAGGGUCAAGCAGUUGUCUGGACCAGCCCCACACACGCAAAUAGAUGCCGAUCUCGCUGGUGGAAUGGGAAUGCCGGACAACGGCUUGAAGCUCAUGUCUUCCUGA
Molecule: ribosomal RNA, 375 nt
Filed under: Triticum aestivum (bread wheat)
Lineage: Eukaryota; Viridiplantae; Streptophyta; Magnoliopsida; Poales; Poaceae
Description: partial small subunit ribosomal RNA
Source: RNAcentral